Molecule: ribosomal RNA, 726 nt
Filed under: uncultured bacterium
Lineage: Bacteria
Description: bacterial SSU rRNA
Rfam family: Bacterial small subunit ribosomal RNA
Source: RNAcentral
AGAGUUUGAUCCUGGCUCAGAUUGAACGCUGGCGGCAGGCCUAACACAUGCAAGUCGAGCGGAAACGGCGGUAUUGAAGCUUCGGUGGAUUUACCGGACGUCGAGCGGCGGACGGGUGAGUAACGGCUGGGAACCUGCCCUGACGAGGGGGAUAACCGUUGGAAACGACGGCUAAUACCGCAUAAUGUCUUGAUUCGUUAGAGUCAGGACCAAAGGUGGCCUCUACAUGUAAGCUAUCGCGUUGGGAUGGGCCCAGUUAGGAUUAGCUAGUUGGUAAGGUAAUGGCUUACCAAGGCAACGAUCCUUAGCUGGUUUGAGAGGAUGAUCAGCCACACUGGGACUGAGACACGGCCCAGACUCCUACGGGAGGCAGCAGUGGGGAAUAUUGCACAAUGGGAGAGACCCUGAUGCAGCCAUGCCGCGUGUGUGAAGAAGGCCUUCGGGUUGUAAAGCACUUUCAGCAGUGAGGAAGGUCGUGUACUUAAUACGUGCACGGCUUGACGUUAGCUGCAGAAGAAGCACCGGCUAACUCCGUGCCAGCAGCCGCGGUAAUACGGAGGGUGCGAGCGUUAAUCGGAAUUACUGGGCGUAAAGCGCAUGCAGGCGGUUUGUUAAGUCAGAUGUGAAAGCCCGGGGCUCAACCUCGGAACCGCAUUUGAAACUGGCAGGCUAGAGUCUUGUAGAGGGGGGUAGAAUUUCAGUGUAGCGGUGAAAUGCGUAGAGAUC